GAGGAUGCACAACUAUCAGCAUGCACAGAUAUUGAGGACUCGACAAGAAAACUAUCAUUCCCCCUAUUUUCAUCCAUUUUAGAAUACUCAGCUGUUCCAACAUUAAAGGAACAGAGAACAUUAUUUUUACCCAAUAUUGCAUUUGGAUAAACAACUGCAUCUACCUUUUCAAGAGUUGUAGAUGGAUGCACUGAACAAUUUCGAUGAUGGCUACCAUCUUUUUCAAUCAGUCUCUUCUUUUGAGCAGUUACUGGAUGAGCUUCAAG
Molecule: unclassified non-coding RNA, 266 nt
Filed under: Hevea brasiliensis (rubber tree)
Lineage: Eukaryota; Viridiplantae; Streptophyta; Magnoliopsida; Malpighiales; Euphorbiaceae
Source: RNAcentral